UGACCUCGGAUCAGGUAGGGAUACCCGCUGAACUUAAGCAUAUCAAUAAGCGGAGGAAAAGAAACCAACCGGGAUUGCCUCAGUAACGGCGAGUGAAGCGGCAAGAGCUCAAAUUUGAAAGCUGGCCCCUUCGGGGUCCGCGUUGUAAUUUGCAGAGGAUGCUUCGGGUGCGGCCCCUGUCUAAGUGCCCUGGAACGGGCCGUCAGAGAGGGUGAGAAUCCCGUCUUGGGCAGGGUGCCCGUGCCCGUGUGAAGCUCCUUCGACGAGUCGAGUUGUUUGGGAAUGCAGCUCUAAAUGGGUGGUAAAUUUCAUCUAAAGCUAAAUACCGGCCGGAGACCGAUAGCGCACAAGUAGAGUGAUCGAAAGAUGAAAAGCACUUUGAAAAGAGAGUUAAACAGCACGUGAAAUUGUUGAAAGGGAAGCGCUUGCGACCAGACUCGGCCCCGGGGUUCAGCCAGCACUCGUGCUGGUGUACUUCCCCGGGGGCGGGCCAGCGUCGGUUUGGGCGGCCGGUCAAAGGCCCCAGGAAUGUAUCGCCCUCCGGGGUUGUCUUAUAGCCUGGGGUGCAAUGCGGCCAGCCCGGACCGAGGAACGCGCUUCGGCACGGACGCUGGCGUAAUGGUCGCAAACGACCCGUCUUGAAACACGGACCAAGGAGUCUAACAUCUACGCGAGUGUUCGGGUGUCAAACCCGUACGCGCAGUGAAAGCGAACGGAGGUGGGAGCCCCCCCGGGGCGCACCAUCGACCGAUCCUGAUGUCUUCGGAUGGAUUUGAGUAAGAGCGUAGCUGUGGGGACCCGAAAGAUGGUGAACUAUGCCUGAAUAGGGCGAAGCAAGAGGAAACUCUGGUGGAGGCUCGCAGCGGUUCUGACGUGCAAAUCGAUCGUCAAAUUUGGGUAUAGGGGCGAAAGACUAAUCGAACCAUCUGGUAGCUGGUUCCUGCCGAAGUUUCCCUCAGGAUAGCAGUAACGCGGAUCAGUUUUAUGAGGUAAAGCGAAUGAUUAGAGGCAUUGGGGUUGAAACAACCUUAACCUAUUCUCAAACUUUAAAUAUGUAAGAAGCCCUUGUU
RNAcentral lists this ribosomal RNA (1070 nucleotides) under Aspergillus brasiliensis. RNAcentral describes it as "partial 28S ribosomal RNA". It matches the Rfam family "Eukaryotic large subunit ribosomal RNA", at positions 1 to 1088 of the family's 3401-position model. The record is from RNAcentral. Lineage: Eukaryota; Fungi; Ascomycota; Eurotiomycetes; Eurotiales; Aspergillaceae.